This is a non-coding RNA of Equus caballus (horse), 2037 nucleotides long. NCBI's taxonomy places the organism in Eukaryota, Metazoa, Chordata, Mammalia, Perissodactyla, Equidae. The record is from RefSeq and is a predicted model, not a curated record.
GCCCUUCAUCUCGGUGCUGCAGUCCCCCGGCCUCCCUCGCUGGAGGUGGUUCCGUGCGGAGCGUCCCACAGAUGUGGAUUUCCUCUCCGUCCUGGUGGGGUUCGGCGCCUAACUGGAACCAUGUGCCUCGGUGUUUUUCCCUGUGCCCUCGAAUUCUGCUUUUUCGGCCGAAGGAAAGGAGCGGAGAGGAUGAUGCUGCAUUUUUAAUAUACCACAAAGCGUGCAAGGGAUUUCCCUGCAAAGCCUUCCACGCUGCCCUUCCCCAGACUGGUGGGCUGCAGCCGAGGGCUUCCAGAGACGACGCACUGGUGAAACAGACAUUUUGGAACAGCCGUCACAUAGUUUUUGCCUGAAUAGAGAGGGCCAGAUGCGUAGAGGAAACACGCUGGAGUCACUGGAUGUGUAAGACAGUCAGUCACCUAUAAGAAAGAAAACUCCCGCCAAGUGUGAUUUCUCCCUCAGUCUGAAGAUCCUUCCUCAAUAAAUUCAAUGGAAUUAGAGAAGAAUAAAGAUACCAAUAGAUAAUUGACUAAAUAAUCUAUGAAACAUCCCUAAGAUGAACUACUUGACAUAAAUACAAAUCAUCUCAUAGAUUUAUAAGGACAUGGAAAUACAUUCACUAAAUGGCAACACAUCCAGGAGAAACAAGAUCCUGAGGAAGAAGGAGCUGCCUCUCUCUGCGUGUCUCUUCUAAGAGUGAAGAAGCCUUUCCCAGAAGACCCCCGGAAGAUUUCUUCUGAAGUCUCAUUUCCCAUGCCCAUGUCUAAAUCAAUCACUGGUGAGAGGAAUGAUAACACCAUAAUCGGCUUCAACCAAUCUGGAUGCACGCCGGGCCUAGGAACAGGGCCAGCCUCCUCUCUAGUCACAUUGUCCUGUGGGAGUUUAGUGGGGUUCAUUCUGUCAGUUUGUUUUGUUUUAAACAAAAGUUUCUUUAGGAAGAAGCAUGGUGUGAAGAGGGGGAUGUUUGGAUGUUGGGCAACUGAGCCUAACCUUGGUGCUGAGUUUUUCUGUAAGGAGCAAAUUAGUUUCUGGAAACCAUGCAGUUGUUUUUCUGAUUUAUAAUUCAUUUAUGUUGAAAGCUUCAUAAUAGUACACAAAUGAAGUCCAGUGAUAUUUGAUACUUAAAAAUUACUUUUAUUUCAAUAGGAUACAAAUAUAUAAGUAGUAUUCUACUGGAAAACCCACUAUCUCUGACCACCAUGUAUGUAUGGGAUGGAAAUGACUGACCCGAGGAGUUCAUGCAAAUAUUUUGACUUGAUAAAAGUUAUAAGAAGUUUAGAUAAGAUUUGCAUUUAUUAAUAACCUAAAAUUCAUUAUAUAUGGCAUUGUGCAUCAAAUAUGGCUUGUAGGUUUAGUCUCAUUGUUGUGUUGUUGCACCUUAUAUGCUUAAAACCUAACAUAAACACCAUUCUCAUUCUAAUAGUAAUUUAUCCACACUAUAUAUUCAAAAAAAUAACAAAGGAGUGUAGAUAUCCACUUUUAUAGCAAUUGUAAAUAAAUUUAUCAGUACUUAAUUUAUGUCAAAACUAGUAUUCUCCUCUGGUGGAAGGUGGUUAAAGUUCUGGAGACAAUUUCAGGCAGUCAGUGUUCUACUUUUGUCUUAACCAUUAGUUGGGUUCUCCUCCUGCUUAACCACUGUCUUACCUUGGUCAAAUAAUUAGAUGUCAAUAUGGCUUAGAUUUAUUUCUGUAAACUAACACAAAGUAAUUGAAUUGAAGUAGGUGAUCAUUAACUUGCUGUCUAGCUAUGAUUCUGCGAUAUUCUGAAACUUGAGUUCCUGGGGUUCAUGUGAUAGGUUUGCUGCAUCUUAACACAAGAAACCUCUCAUUACCUAGUCAAGUCUCAGCCUCCCUUUCCUGGUUACUAUUUGCACGAUAUCAAACAGAGAGUCCCUGAGGUUUGGGAGUGGCCCUGGAUGCAAGAAGAGUGCCAGCUUUGAUAUUGGUCUGGAAAUAGAGAGAGGCUGGAAAAGUACUUGGAAUAUUAUGGCCACAGGGGAAUAGCUGGACCGAAGAUUAAAUACUGCCUGCCAAAAUA